This 372-nucleotide ribosomal RNA is filed under the name uncultured organism. RNAcentral's name for it is "bacterial SSU rRNA". It matches the Rfam family "Bacterial small subunit ribosomal RNA", at positions 526 to 896 of the family's 1533-position model. The record is from RNAcentral.
CAGAGGGUGCAAACGUUGCUCGGAAUUACUGGGCGUAAAGCGCGUGUAGGCGGUUCCGCAAGUCAGGUGUGAAAGCCCAGGGCUCAACCCUGGAAGUGCACUUGAUACUACGGAGCUUGAGUACUGAAGAGGAGAGCGGAAUUCCCGGUGUAGAGGUGAAAUUCGUAGAUAUCGGGAGGAACACCAGUGGCGAAGGCGGCUCUCUGGGCAGAUACUGACGCUGAGACGCGAAAGCAUGGGGAGCAAACAGGAUUAGAUACCCUGGUAGUCCAUGCUGUAAACGAUGAGAACUGGGUGUUGUGGGUAUUGACCCCCGCGGUGCCGAAGCCAACGCGUUAAGUUCUCCGCCUGGGAAGUACGGCCGCAAGGCUA